Long non-coding RNA from Alligator sinensis (Chinese alligator), 303 nucleotides. RefSeq lists it as uncharacterized. The transcript is spliced from 3 exons. The record is from RefSeq and is a predicted model, not a curated record. Lineage: Eukaryota; Metazoa; Chordata; Crocodylia; Alligatoridae.
GAACUACAAGGGGCCCCAGUCCUUCACUCUGCGUCAGCAACACCCCGUGGGGACGCCUAGGUAUGGUGUUCUCUGACCUUCAAAGCAAGCAGUAUCUUCACUCAUUCUGGUCCCCGGCUCCAGUGCAAGAUGCAUGGGUGUAAGCCUGCUGCACCCCCAUGAGCCUACGGACCCCCAGCGAGACCCCAGGACCCCCGAUGAGCCCUGGCCUGCCUGCAGGUUGCUGAGUUUUGAAGGCUGAAUGGCUCUGUCGUCUGGAGUAUCUUCCUGAUAUAUUUCAGCUGUUUCAGAACUGCAGAACUG